RNAcentral lists this transfer RNA (92 nucleotides) under Chloroflexota bacterium. RNAcentral describes it as "tRNA-Ser". It matches the Rfam family "tRNA". Rfam says of the family: Transfer RNA (tRNA) molecules are approximately 80 nucleotides in length. Their secondary structure includes four short double-helical elements and three loops (D, anti-codon, and T loops). Further hydrogen bonds mediate the characteristic L-shaped molecular structure. tRNAs have two regions of fundamental functional importance: the anti-codon, which is responsible for specific mRNA codon recognition, and the 3' end, to which the tRNAs corresponding amino acid is attached (by aminoacyl-tRNA synthetases). tRNAs cope with the degeneracy of the genetic code in two manners: having more than one tRNA (with a specific anti-codon) for a particular amino acid; and 'wobble' base-pairing, i.e. permitting non-standard base-pairing at the 3rd anti-codon position. Lineage: Bacteria; Bacillati; Chloroflexota. The record is from RNAcentral.
GGGGAGGUGCCAGAGUGGACGAUUGGGGCCGCCUGCUAAGCGGCUGUGGGGGUAAGACUCCACCCAGGGUUCGAAUCCCUGCCUCCCCGCCA